UACGUAGGUCCCAAGCGUUGUUCGGAAUCACUGGGCGUAAAGGGAGCGUAGGCGGCGUGGUAAGUCAGAUGUGAAAUCCCGGGGCUCAACCCCGGAACUGCAUCCGAUACUGCCAUGCUAGAGGAUUGGAGAGGUAGCUGGAAUUCUUGGUGUAGCAGUGAAAUGCGUAGAGAUCAAGAGGAACACUCGUGGCGAAAGCGAGCUACUGGAAAAUUCCUGACGCUGAGGCUCGAAGGCUAGGGUAGCGAAAGGG
This 253-nucleotide ribosomal RNA is filed under the name uncultured bacterium. Its description in RNAcentral is "partial 16S ribosomal RNA". It matches the Rfam family "Bacterial small subunit ribosomal RNA", at positions 524 to 776 of the family's 1533-position model. The record is from RNAcentral.